UACGGAGAGUGCAAACGUUGUUCGGAUUCACUGGGCGUAAAGGGCACGUAGGCGGCUCGGCAAAUCGGUCGUGGAAUCCCGACGCUUACCGUCGGAACGGCGGCCGAAAAUACCGGGCUCGAGGGCGUGAGGGGUCACUGGAACUCCUGGUGAAGCGGUGAAAUGCGUAGAUAUCGAGAGGAACACCUGCGGCGAAGGCGGGUUGCUGGGCCGACACUGACGCUGAUGCGCGAAAGCCAGGGGAGCGAACGGG
Molecule: ribosomal RNA, 253 nt
Filed under: uncultured bacterium
Lineage: Bacteria
Description: partial 16S ribosomal RNA
Rfam family: Bacterial small subunit ribosomal RNA
Source: RNAcentral